UUUCUUCUAACCUUAUCUCAUCCAAGCCUAAGGUUUCUCUUCAGCCUCCCAUUCGCCUCCAUCUCUAUUCUCGGUCUCAACUCUGAACUUGCCCCCUCUCCUUCUCUCUGCAACUCCCCAAUCGCCUCCAUCUCUAUUCUCGUUCUCAACCUAUUGCACCUUGCACCACAGCCACCACCAUCACUCCACCCCAUAUCCUCACACCACCACUGAAGCCAACCCCUCUCUUUUUGUUCGAGCUCUCUGCUAUGGGUAUUUCGGCGAGAUCUCUGGCCAAACCUCGGCCUCUCGCUCUCGAUCUCAUCUCUUCUCCAUCGGCUUCGUCUCCGGCCGACCUUCGGCCAAGGAGAUAACAUUCUCAUCUUGCUGCCAUCCACCGCUACAAUUUUCGGUCAUCUUCUCCGGCGAAUCUCAGGCCGUCAUCUCAUCGUUCUCGGGCACUGUGAGACAGUGAGAGCAGAGACUGGCAAGUUAUAGGCACCUUGGGAGUGACUGCACUUGGAUGGAGCACUUGGUCAGAUAUCUAAUUUCUUGGAUGUUCUAAAUUUCUAAUAGUGUGUGUGUGUGUUUUCUUUUUUCUUUUUCAGUUGUAAUUUUACAUUAUUCAAAGCACGUAGAUCUUAUAAUUAGCUCAAAAGAGGGAUUUUAUGUAUAUUUAGACAGCGUACUAUAAACUGACAUAAAAAGGUAGAUACAUAAAGCCUGAAGGCUCACACACUGGUGCUAAAAAUUUAUGCCCUUGAACACUAUCAUUUCUGUGCUAUACAGAUUGCUAAAUUUUUUGAAAUUCUUUUCAGUCCACAAGUUCUAAACAGAAUAAGCUCAUGCCAGAAAUGCUAUAUUUUCAAAAGGGCAAGAAAGGUCACUACACCAUAUUAGGGUUUUACCAGCGCUCUUUUAAAGAGCAUUGGUAUAGGUGCAAUCGUACCAGUGCUUUUUUAAAAACCUAUUACAUAAUCAAAACCCAAAUCUUUUAGUUUUCAUCGCCCGCUGUUCCAGUUCGGGUUCGCUGUUCGCAAGCUUCAGCCACUGUCUCUCAACCCUCAAGCUUGCCCCCUUCUCUCUUUACAACUGCUAACUUGUAUGUAUGGGUUUUGUUUUUUUUUUUUUUUUUGUUUUUUUGUUUUUUUCUAAAUCAAUUAAUCACUGGCUUGUUGUGAUGGAAAAACAUGAGGAGGACGACACUUCCAGGGACCAGAUCAUCGAUAGUUACAUCAAAACCCUAGAGUGAAUGCUCCGCAGUAUCGGAUGUUGCCGACGCAGACAAAUUUGAAUAUGCUUCCACUUCCUUCCAAUAUGACGGAAAAGGUUCUUCCAGUUGCAGCAACACAGUCAAAGACUAGUGGGGAAAACUAUAGCCGUCUCAAAUUGAACCAAAUUCGACAUUCUGGUGAAGAAAGCCGCGCUUCUGUAAAUUAGCAGUUUGAUGAAGAAUUAAUGGCCAACUGAGAGUUGAUUGUGCAUGUGGAAAAUUAAAAUGUUAUGUUUCUUAUGCAUUGUGAUAAAAUGUUUUGUUUCUUGUGCUGAUAUGCUUGAGACAUUUAUAAUGAAAUUUUGAUUCUUCUGUUGCCAGUUGCUGUUAUAUGUAAAAGCAUUUUCUUAUCAAGUUUCAGAUUUUUUGGUUGUAAUUUUAUUUUUUCCCCCUUUCAUGUUACAAUUUCUUCGGAGGUGAAGGUUUCAAAUUGAGGUCAUUGGUUACUUAGGAAGGUUUGAACACUAGAUCAAGUCCAUUAGUGAUCAAAGGGAUCUGCAUUUUUCUUAUAGUGUUUAGAGGUUUCAAGAAUCUCGUAGCUUAUGUGGUACACUAGUACUGUAUUUUGCUAUCAUUUGUUUGAAAGAAGGAUAGACCAUUAAAUUGAAUGCGACUAAUUUUAGACCUUUGAUUUAUUUGCUGCACCUUUUUUAUUAUUUUUUUAUUUUUUUAUUUUUUCUCUCUAAUUGCACGUUUUCUUGCAGCAACACUAUGUUAUUCCUAAUUUUGUGCACAGGUGAAUGAUGGGAGGACCAUCGAUCCAUCUGAGCUGGAAGAGAAGUUGACCGACUUAAUCAUCCGGACUUCAAGUUAGAUCCCCUUUUAAUUUUUGUUUCUCUGAUGUUUUUGUUUUCAAACUAGAAUGGGGCUUUGAGUUGGAUUUUGAAGUGUGAACUUGUGGUGCUUGUGGGAGCUACUUUCUACUCUAGGGAAGUUUGUUGUCUAUAUAUUUGAAUGAUAAAUAAUAAGCUGACAAUGAAACGAACGGUUAGUGAAGUCGAAAAAGUGAGUGAACAAAAUACCGAAACUUCAACUUCAAAAUCAUCCCAACCACCUCCGCAGAUUUAUUCAUUCGCACACAUAUAAAUAAGGAUGGUAAUGCUACUGAUGUUGCUGCUUCGGAGAUGAUUGUUCCUUAUGUGAACUAGUACUGAAAACAUAGCAAAGGAAAUGUCUCUCUACUAUAAUGAAUCUGCUAUUGAGGAAUGAUGCAUAGGUAUAGAUGUUUAUGAUGCAUAGAAGAUAUAGAUGUUGAGUCCAUUUUCUAGUCAUGAUGCCAAUUCAAUUAAGGGUAAUUCAAAUCAAAUGGGCAAGAAGACUUGUUGAAGUUGAAGCUGAAGAUGGGGUCGUGACUGUGCUUUCUGAAUUUCUUUCCCCUUGGAUGGGUCCUUUUUGAAAAACUUGUACUACAUUUGUCAAAAAUUCUUAAUUCUUUUUGUGUGACAUUUUAGUAGCUUUAUCUAGACAAUUUGGAUGGUAUUUUCAUAUUGGCAGGUUAACUUGUGGUUGUAUUAGUAUACAUUUUGGCUUUUUGGUUGACAUUUACCAGCUUUAUCAAUUAGUAGCCAAUUUCAAUGGUAUUUUUCAUAUUGGCAGCAGGUUAACUUGUGGUUGUAUUAUGUAAAAACAAUUUGGAUGGUAUUUUUAUAUUGAUUUGUGUUAUAUUGGAUGA
This is a long non-coding RNA of Cornus florida, 2924 nucleotides long. RefSeq lists it as uncharacterized. The transcript is spliced from 7 exons. The record is from RefSeq and is a predicted model, not a curated record. NCBI's taxonomy places the organism in Eukaryota, Viridiplantae, Streptophyta, Magnoliopsida, Cornales, Cornaceae.